UACGUAGGGGGCGAGCGUUGUCCGGAUUUAUUGGGCGUAAAGAGCUCGUAGGCGGUUUGGUAAGUUGGAUGUGAAAUCUCCAGGCUCAACUUGGAGGGGUCAUUCGAUACUGCCAUGACUAGAGUUCGGUAGGGGAGUGUGGAAUUCCUGGUGGAGCGGUGAAAUGCGCAGAUAUCAGGAGGAACACCCGUAGCGAAGGCGGCACUCUGGGCCGGAACUGACGCUGAGGAGCGAAAGCGUGGGGAGCGAACAGGG
This 255-nucleotide ribosomal RNA is filed under the name uncultured bacterium. RNAcentral describes it as "partial 16S ribosomal RNA". It matches the Rfam family "Bacterial small subunit ribosomal RNA", at positions 524 to 777 of the family's 1533-position model. The record is from RNAcentral.